UACGAAGGGGGCUAGCGUUACUCGGAUUGACUGGGCGUAAAGGGCGCGUAGGCGGUUUGUACAGUCAGACGUGAAAUUCCUGGGCUCAACCUGGGGGCUGCGUUUGAUACGUGCGGACUUGAGUUCGGAAGAGGGUCGUGGAAUUCCCAGUGUAGAGGUGAAAUUCGUAGAUAUUGGGAAGAACACCGGUGGCGAAGGCGGCGACCUGGUCCGAUACCGACGCUGAGGCGCGAAAGCGUGGGGAGCAAACAGG
This 253-nucleotide ribosomal RNA is filed under the name uncultured bacterium. RNAcentral's name for it is "partial 16S ribosomal RNA". It matches the Rfam family "Bacterial small subunit ribosomal RNA", at positions 524 to 776 of the family's 1533-position model. The record is from RNAcentral.